RNAcentral lists this long non-coding RNA (2838 nucleotides) under Nicotiana tabacum (common tobacco). RNAcentral describes it as "long non-coding RNA (NTAB_LNC014831)". Lineage: Eukaryota; Viridiplantae; Streptophyta; Magnoliopsida; Solanales; Solanaceae. The record is from RNAcentral.
CUAAAGCAAAAAGCUGAAGAAGGCACGCUAGACAUAUACACUGAAAAAGGCGUCUGAAAAACCAGCGCCGCAACCAAAGAGAGCACACCCCCCCCCCCCCCCCGCGUCGUCUUCUCCAAACGACCCCUGCUCUCUUCAUCGACCAUGACCAUAGACAAUAACGAGACGACCCCCUCCUCCCCUGAAGCUCCUUCUUCUUAACCACACCCCUGAACAUCACAACAACCAGCCCAUCUCCUACAUCCAUAGAAUAACCAGUAAAACCAGUCCAAAGAAGCUCCAAAUUCAGCUGAACAACAACUCGAAAAUAGCCCUCUUUCCUCACAAAAUAACAGCAUUUUGAGAUUGAGUUUAGUUAAAGCCCCGAGCGUUGGUUGCUGGUUCCGUUCAAGAUGUUGGUGAGAUCUCUAGUCAAGGUUACGCAUGAAGCUCUUAGUCCAUAGGAAGCUUUGUAUAUACUGAGCAUCAGUGCUCGCGGAGGUUCAGUUCUUAUCCCAUUUUUAAUUAAUGCAAAGUUCUUGGUACUCUCUUUGACUUCAUGCGUUUUUUUUAAAAAAAACUUUGAUAUAGUUUUAAUUCCAUUGCCUUUGCAUAUAUGUAUACAGUUGUCAUCUUGAAUUGGCAUAUUAAAUGGGUAAUUCAUAAAUUUUGAUGGUAAACUAUUCGUUUCAUUUUUGUGUAUUGAUUUAGUACUUAUUUAAUGUUAUGCCAUAUUUUUCAUUUGUGAGUAGUAAAUACCUUGGUUUGUGCGUUAUUGAGUAGUCUGUUUCUUUGUGUCCUAUAGAUUAAUUUGUUGUCAUUUCUUAUUUAAGUGAAUACGUAAGUUUUGAUGGUGAAUUGAACGGGCAGUUGGGUUUAAUUAGCACUUAUAAUUUUGGGUUUACAUUAAAGUGAUUCAUAACAAGUGGGUCACGAUAGUAAUAUGGAAUUGUUAGAAGCUUUUGGUUUUGAGAUGAUUUUGAUAAUCAAUGCGGCAUGACAACUUUAAGAUGCAAUUGAUCUAAAUAGCCUAAUGACUAGAUUACGUCAUUUCCUCCUUAAUAUUUUUUAUCCAUAAUUUCUUUAACUUUGCACAAUAAUCUCAAAGUAGUUUAGAAAAAUAAUACAAAUUUCGUAGCUUGCUUUAGGCGCGUAAUUUAAAAAAUCACUUUCCUAAACUUGGGUGUGCAUUUAUGUGACCCAAAUUCAAAUCUCAACAACGUUAGAUAAAAUGUGUCGUGGACCGCGGGUGCAUUUAUAUGACGUGAUUCAAGACGUGUUUUAGAUGACGUUUAAUCUUUCUCCUAAAAAAAUAACAAUUAAUUAAAGCGGUUUUAAAGUUAAGAAUGCACAUAGGUUUAAAAGUAUUUUAAAAUCAGAUAAUUGAGCCAAAAAUAAUAGUUGAGCGACCGUGCUAGAACCACGGAAUCCGGGAAUGCCUAACAUCUUCUCCCCGGUUAACAGAAUUCCUUACCCGAAUUUUUGUGUUCGCGGACUGAAUAACAGAGUCAAUCUUUCCUCGAUUCAGGAUUUAAAACCGAUGACUUGAGACACCAUAAAUUAUCCCAAGUGGCAACUCUGAAUUUGUAAUGAAAUAAUCCCGUUUCGAUUGUCACUUUAAGUUGGAAAAAAACUCUCUUAUACUCCCUUCCGGAGGUGGUAGAAAAAAGGAGGUGUGACAACUCUGGCGACUCUGGUGGGGAUCGAACCCAGAAUCUCUAGUUCAGGGUUCAGAAUUCGAGCUUAGAUGAAUUGUUAUGUUUGGCAUUAUUUAUUAUCUGAUUUUAUUACAUGUUUGGGCCUAAUGUGCUAAAUGUUGCUUUUACCGCNNNNNNNNNNNNNNNNNNNNNNNNNCGGACAAGUUGCAAAGCCGGAUGAUCUUUUAGUUACCGGUACGCAACCUCCCCUCGGCUCGAGUGGUCUGCUCGGGUGCACAAGUCUAGAACAGUAUACCCAGGUUUUAUAAUUAGAAUAACUCAGCCUCAUACUGGAUCCCUAGUAGGAACGUUUGUUUGCAUCAUGUGCAUUUGACUUUGGAGACUCAACACAGGGGUUGGGUCCGUCUAGGACAAGUGUACCCAAAAAUAAAAGACUAUCCUGAUGUAUCCUAUGUGCUACAUGUUAUAUUUAUUCAAGGGUAAAAGGGUCAUUUGGCGGACCAAUGAUAGUUGAGGGCUAAUGAAAAAAAAAGUGAAGUAUGAAAAUAAGGCAAGUAGGGCCCAGCUAUGCUUUCUUUCACAUUUUUUAAAAGAAAAGUAAAAAAAAAACAUGAAAAUUCAAAAGAUUUUGCACUUUUUAUCAUUUUUCGAAAAUCAAAAAUAAAAAUAAAAAAAGAGGAAAAAGAAAUCCAAAAAUAUUUUACAUGUUUCAUCAUUUUUUUUUAAAAGAAAAAAUAUUUUUUCUAAAUUAGUUAUUUUUAAUUUGCCCGAACUACGCAUACCUAAUUCUCGUCUUUCGGGGCAUGAUACGUAGGCAACCCACAUAAGGUCCGGCCUUCCUAGUAAGUCUUAGGUUCUUGGCUUCGCGGGUCUUAGCCAAUCUUGCAUUUUAUCCACUUUAGCCGCAUAGGUUAAUUUUGCAGAAAUAGCUUCAAUCAUGUCUCGCAUGUGUCUAGUAAGGAAUGUAAUUGUCUCACAUAGUGUUGGUUUCAGUUUUCUCAUACAUGUGUGAAUCUACUUACCGGAGUUUGGGCAUGACAGACGCCUUAGGACCAUCCAAUCAGGAGUUUGCUUAAGGAGAUUUUUUUUAGUUAUUAUGUUUUGAGUCUGUUAUUUUUUUUAUGUCGUCUUUUACCUUUUAAUUUUGUACAGUAAUGUUGGGUCUUUCGUUUUUGUAUUUCCUAUUUUGUAUUGAAAAAAG